UACGGAGGAUGCAAGCGUUAUCCGGAAUGAUUGGGCGUAAAGCGUCCGCAGGUGGCAGUUCAAGUCUGCUGUCAAAGACCGGGGCUUAACUUCGGAAAGGCAGUGGAAACUGAAUAGCUAGAGUAUGGUAGGGGCAGAGGGAAUUCCUGGUGUAGCGGUGAAAUGCGUAGAGAUCAGGAAGAACAUCGGUGGCGAAGGCGCUCUGCUGGACCAUAACUGACACUCAGGGACGAAAGCUAGGGGAGCGAAUGGG
Molecule: ribosomal RNA, 253 nt
Filed under: uncultured bacterium
Lineage: Bacteria
Description: partial 16S ribosomal RNA
Rfam family: Bacterial small subunit ribosomal RNA
Source: RNAcentral